UAGGUUGAUCUCUCCACCAAUGGGCCCAACGGCUCAUUGGGUCCUUGACCCACGCCCUGAUCGGGGGCGUCCAACCCAAGCAAGGCUGGUGAGCCCCUGUCGCGCAGUGCUAUAAAGAGGAGGUGGGGAUCAGAGGCACGAGGUACGAGGUUCGUCGCCACCACUGUUCCCCACUCCUAACCCUAUCCGAUCUAGAGGGAGGCGCUGAAGCGAUGGGAAGCCCACCGACGCCACCACUCUCGGCCAUCACCAUCGACCUCUACACCGACCGUCGCUGAAGCGAUGGCCGGAACGCUAAGUGGCAGGCAGAGGUGCAAGUUCGUAUGAGGUCGCCGGCUCAAUUCCCUUGGCUAUAUUUUUCAUUUUGAUUAAAACUAUUAUUCCCUACAAAGGAUAUAGAGAUUUCCUAUGCAUAUUCAACCACAAAUGGCGAUGGAUGGGGUGGUACACACCUGUUUCUGUAGUCUGCAUGUAUGUGGUUUGAGUCCCGAGGUCCCUGGCAGGUGGGCCAGGGCUCUUUUAUGAGAGAGAAAACAUCAUGGGUUUUUACGAAUAAAACAAGGGCUUUUUGUGAGAGAGAAAAUAUUGACGGGACUUGUCAUAAAAAAGGGGAUUUUGUGAGAGAGAAAUUGUCAAGCUGGGUUUUCACAAAAGAACGGGCGACUCCCCUGAAGGAAAUAUGCCCUAGAGGCAAUAAUAAAGUUGUUAUUUUAUA
Molecule: long non-coding RNA, 715 nt
Organism: Triticum aestivum (bread wheat)
Lineage: Eukaryota; Viridiplantae; Streptophyta; Magnoliopsida; Poales; Poaceae
Exons: 2
Source: RefSeq, a predicted model, not a curated record